ACAGUAUUUAACCAACAUGUCCAGAUAUUACCAAUAGUUAACCAAACACUUUGGAUUAAUUCCCUUUACUAAGCAUUGUUUCUUGCAGCUGUUACCUGCUCAUUUACCCCUUGCCCUUGGACAAAAGCAACCACUGCAACUCAGAUAAGAGUUACCGAUUUUUUAAACAGCUUUAGUAGGGUAUACUUUUUUACAUGUGAAGAUAAAAAUUAUCUAGCAUCUCAAGAUGAUGAACUUUAAUUCUGAAUACAUAGAGUACUUUACACUUUAAGCAGGAGCUAUCAGAUCUCUUCUUUUGACUUGAACAAAACCUUAAGAACAAGAAUGAUUUCUUAUCAGAAUAAUAUCGUGCCUUCUGAAAGAGUUGUGAUUGCUUGCUAAUGCAGACUCCAACUAUAAAACGAAGAGAAAAAGACAAAACAUGAAAGAAAAAGAAGGAAAACGCAACUCAAAAUCAUGUUGUUAAGCCAUUGGAACUGACAUACUAAGCUCUGUUGUGUGCUACACUGAAUUAGCUAUGCAUACUGAGACUUAAAUGGAUAACAAGAUAUUUCAAUUAAUCAUGGACUUGGAUCGCAAGAAGCAGCAGGACUGUAAGCCCAUCCUGUUCAUCAAUCUCUCUGUAAACAGUAGAAUUGCCUUUAAAAUCAAUGCACACAAACUGACUUCACAGCACUCCAACUUUAGUGGACCAAUUUCUGAAAUCCUGAAAAUCAGAAUCUUGUUAAAAAAGCAAAACUAUGCCUGUGCUCUGUAAACCAGGUGAUUGCUGUUGCAUUUGUAAUUUUGUACUCUUCUUAAAUGUAAUAGAUAUGCAGAACUUUUAGUCAGAUUAUUCAUGUAGCUUUUUAUAUUAUGAAGUUCAUUUGCAGAAACUAAGUAGCAUUUAUAAGCAUUUUUGUUCCAUUAAUAAUGAGAAGGAAUCAUACGUCUGAAUUUUGUAGCAGAACCUCCAGAUACUGGCUGCUGAGUACCUCAAGCAUAUCCUUUGAAUCAGAAUAAUUUAGGUUGGAAAAGAACUUCAAGAUCAUCAAUUCCAACCAUUAAAUAGCACUGCCAAGUCCACCACUACACCAUGUCCCUAAGCACCACAGCCACAGGUCUUUUAAAUACCUUCAGGGAUGGUGACUCAGGCGCUUCCCUGGGCAGCCUGUUCCAGUGAUUGACAACCCUUUCAGUGAAG
RNAcentral lists this long non-coding RNA (1183 nucleotides) under Amazona collaria (yellow-billed parrot). RNAcentral describes it as "lncRNA (ENSACOG00000012159.1)". The record is from RNAcentral. Lineage: Eukaryota; Metazoa; Chordata; Aves; Psittaciformes; Psittacidae.